GUGGGUGGAAAACUGGGAGAGCUUCAGAGAGAUAGCGCUGGUUACAAGCGGGUCUCCAAGGAUGACCCAGAGCUGGCCUUGAGGAUGAGCAGGCGGAAAUACAGCACAAGCAGAGACCUGUGGUGGGAGAGCAGGUUGUGUGGCUCCGUCAGGGUCUCUCUGGGAAAACAGACACCUCUUGGAGUUUAUGCAACAGAGGGAAUGUAAAGCAGGGGCGCGGCUAUGCGGACGAGAGAACUCAACGGGAUGACGGGGCAAGGCAGAAACGGGCAUCGGCAGGAAGCCACAGCCACCCCUGCUAGAGGGAAAAAAGAAGAACCCAAACCCAGAGCUGAGACCACAGCGGGCCUGUUCGGGGAGAGCUGGAACUAGAGAAGACACAUGGUUACUGCUGCACAAGUCCCCAGGGCAGCAAGGAGGGGAAGGCCCUGCCCUCUCCUUUCUUCUUAGCCUCCGUCAUUUUCUGGGACAUCUGAAACACUGCCACUGCAGGGGUCCGUGGUGAAGGGUGAAAACAGAGCAGGGAAAGCGCGAGGCUGGAUUCAGGGCAAACAGGCCCAGGACCGGUAAUGCAUCUUUGGGUAACUGAGUUUGCGCAGGGCUGGAGAGGCUGUUUCAUUGCUCCAACAAGACCCAUGGUGUUCCGGGGCCAGCAUCCCCAGGAUGAGCUGAUGGCCAGAGUCUGCGACGAGGAUCCCAGAAGGCAAAGCAGGCUGCUGAAUAAGCACUCGUUGAGUGAGAAACACCUUUCCCAGUGUUCAGACCGCUUCUCAGGAGGAAACAACUGGAGGACCACUUCCUAAUCAACACACUUCUGCGUGGAACUGGCAAACGACCCAUUUGAAACGUGGUUGGGAUGAAUAACUGUUCUUGUAGCCAAAUGCUUUCAAAAUACUUCAAGAAAAACCUGUCCAACGAUGCUGAUUCUAGCCUACCGCAGAAACGCAUUUAUAUUUUAUGCACUUGUUUGUAUUUUCGUCAGCUCCGAUUUCUCUUAAAAAAGCUUAGGAGUCUCUGACGGUCUUUUGUUCUCCUCUCGAGAGUAAAUGUUCCUAAGGAAUUCGCGUGGUACUUCCAUCCUGAUGGCUUAAGGGGUUAGAUAAGAAGCAGAUGCGGGCACAGGGGUGGUGUAGCGACCCAAAGUGGCAAAGGUCAGGAGACCCCUGACUCUCUCCAGCCCCACCCCCGCCUGCGCUGAAGGCAGACACACUUUGUUCAUUCUUCCCACAGCCCCCACAAUGAAGGGUGACGUCUCUGGGAUUGGAAAAGCGCUUGAGACCCUUUGGUGGAGUUUUAUUUUUAUUGCUUAUUUAUUUUGAGAAAGAGAGAAAGAGUGGGGGAAAGAGGCAGAGGGAGAGAUAGAGAAUCUUAAGCAGGCUCUACACUCAGCACAGAGCCCCAUGUGGGGCUCGAUCCCAUGACACUGGGAUCACAACCUCCGCUGAAAUCAAGAGUCAGACGCUCAACCGACUGAGCCAUGCAGGUUCCCCUGGAGUUUCAUUUUUAGAUCAACGUACACAAACUAGGUCAUCCUCGUCCAAUUCCACACUUUCAAAGAGCAUUUCUUACAAUCUUAAGUAUUUUUCCUGAGUAUUGGGUCAAAUUGUCUUCAGUGACAAAGGUGAUGACCUCAGGCUUUUUUUUUUAUGCUUCUCCCUUUUUCACAUCUGGGAAGGGGCAGGUCUCUUCCAUGAGCUCUUGUCCCUCCAUCACUGAUCUUGUGUGUGAGAGCUCAGAGAAGACAGAUCUCUUCCCCAGUGCAGGCCUCUCCCUUAACCUAACAAAGGCUCACCUUGUUGGAGAGCAUAACCCGUGCCAGGCCCUUGGCACACAACAUGUCACUGAAUGAUCUUAGCAACCCCCGAGGUGGGUUCUAUCUUAUUUGUCCUUCACAUGCUGGGAAAUGAAGGUGGAGAGAGGUUAAACGACUUGCCCAAGGCUACUCAUCUUAGAAGGAGAACUCAGAUUUACAUCUAGACAGUCUGAUUCUAGAGUUUGUCCUCUUAAACCCUACACAAUGCUGAUGCUUUACACAUGAGUAUAGGGAGUGCUGAUGCAUAAAACAUAUUGAUAUCUGUGAAGAGUGAAACGUUUGACUUCUUGCUGAUUUGGAUGCCUUUUAUUUCUUUUUGUUGUGUGAUUGCUGGGUUGAGGACUUCCAGUGCUAUGUUGAACAACAGUGGUGAGAGUGGACAUCCCUGUCAUGUUAUCCAAAAUCUAUGAAGAGCUAACCAAACUCAACACCCAAAAAACAAAUAAUCCAGUGAAGAAAUGGGCAGAAGACAUGAAUAGACACUUUUCCAAAGAAGACAUCCAGAUGGCUAACAGACACAUGAAAAGAUGCUCAACAUCACUCAUCAUCAGGGAAAUACAGGUCAAAACCACAGUGAGAUAACACCUCACACCUGUCCAAAUGACUAAAAGUAACAACUCAGGAAACAACAGAUGUUGGCAAGGAUGCAGAGAAAAGGGAACCUUUUUGCACUGUUGGUGGGCAUGAAAACUGGUGCAGCCACUCUGGAAAACAGUAUCAAGUUUCCUCAAAAAAAUAAAAAAUUCUAACCCAUGACCCAGCAAUUGCACUACUAAGUAUUUAUCCAAAGGAUACAAAGAUGCUUAUUCGAAGCAUACCAACAAUAGCCAAGUUAUGGAAAGACGCCAAAUGUCCAUUGACUGAUGAAUGGAUAAAGAAGAUGUCACACACACACACACACACACACACGCACACACACACACCCAUAUAUACACAAUGGAAUAUUACUUGGCAAUCAAAAAGAAUGAAAUCUUGCCAUUUGCAACAACGUGGAUGGAACUAGAGUGUAGUAUGAUAAGUGAAACAAGUCAGGCAGAGAAAGACAGAUAUAUUUCACUCAUAUGGGAUUUGAGAAGCACAACAGAUGAACAUAGGGGAAGGGAAGGAAAAAUAAGAUAAAAACAGAGAGGGAGGCAAACCAUAAGAGACUCUUAAAUACAGGAA
This is a long non-coding RNA of Panthera uncia (snow leopard), 2977 nucleotides long. RefSeq lists it as uncharacterized. The record is from RefSeq and is a predicted model, not a curated record. The transcript has 3 exons. Lineage: Eukaryota; Metazoa; Chordata; Mammalia; Carnivora; Felidae.